Molecule: ribosomal RNA, 408 nt
Filed under: uncultured marine bacterium
Lineage: Bacteria
Description: bacterial SSU rRNA
Rfam family: Bacterial small subunit ribosomal RNA
Source: RNAcentral
CAGCAGCCGCGGUAAUACGGAGGGUGCGAGCGUUAAUCGGAAUUACUGGGCGUAAAGCGCAUGCAGGUGGUUUGUUAAGUCAGAUGUGAAAGCCCGGGGCUCAACCUCGGAAUUGCAUUUGAAACUGGCAGACUAGAGUACUGUAGAGGGGGGUAGAAUUUCAGGUGUAGCGGUGAAAUGCGUAGAGAUCUGAAGGAAUACCGGUGGCGAAGGCGGCCCCCUGGACAGAUACUGACACUCAGAUGCGAAAGCGUGGGGAGCAAACAGGAUUAGAUACCCUGGUAGUCCACGCCGUAAACGAUGUCUACUUGGAGGUUGUGGCCUUGAGCCGUGGCUUUCGGAGCUAACGCGUUAAGUAGACCGCCUGGGGAGUACGGUCGCAAGAUUAAAACUCAAAGGAAUUGACGG